GAAAGGUAGGGUAAGGGGGAAACUUCCUGUUUGACCGCAGCUUGAGCACAGCUUAAGUCAUUUUGAUGCAUUUUUGAUGCAUUUUCUUAAGUUAUUUUUUGUAUGAAACUUGAGUUUAGAUUAGUGCACUAAUUUAUGCCAUGGCCAGAUCUUGUAGUUUGGCAUAGUAAUUGGUGUCAGGUUUGUGAGUUGCAUUCAUGUUGUUUGUGCAGUCUGUGCAUUUGUAUCAUGUUUUGAUCCCAUGUACUGAUUUUGUGUAGUGGACAGUACAAUGUGGAAUUAAAGUAGCAAAUAGUAAAGAAAUGCAUCUCAUGUGUUUAUUGGUGCACGCCAUCUGUGUCCUCAUGUUUAGCCUGCUGCAGCCGUUGGUUGGAAGAGCCGCAACAGAGAGAUCGUUCAAGAUCUGAACUAAUAAAAUGUCCUUUUGACUCCGCCUCUUUUAUUAAUGUGAAAUCAUUUCAGAGCAAUAUCAAGGACCUGGAAGGUGUAAAAGGUUGAUAACCUCCAAUCAAGCAAUAGUGUCUGUCUGUGGAAAACAACACUGGAAACGAACUCCAAAGAAUCCCCAUCAAACAAGGCAUACAGCUGCUGUUCCACAGAGGCCUGAAACUUUCAGAGGGCAACUCAUCAAAGUUUAGUUUAGAUGUCAGGCAGAAGAGGAUGAACUGAAAGAAGAAUCAGUUUGGUUUUUUUUAUAUUUACAAAAUUUGAUGAACAUUUGAGUCAGAGAUGAGGCCUUCUGCUUACAGCAGUGGGUUAAAGCACCUAAAGUCCACAGUCUGUUAACUGAUCACUGCAUAAACACUGAACAUAUGCAUAUAUAUUAAUAAAGGUUUACAAAAGAAAAAAGUCUAUAAAUUAUAAAUGAAAUCUUUUAUCUGUAUUAGUUCUACACUUCAUUUUGGCUGCGCCUCCCUGAG
Oreochromis niloticus (Nile tilapia) is the source of this 920-nucleotide long non-coding RNA. RefSeq lists it as uncharacterized. The record is from RefSeq and is a predicted model, not a curated record. The transcript is spliced from 3 exons. NCBI's taxonomy places the organism in Eukaryota, Metazoa, Chordata, Actinopteri, Cichliformes, Cichlidae.